Long non-coding RNA from Macrobrachium nipponense, 307 nucleotides. RefSeq lists it as uncharacterized. The record is from RefSeq and is a predicted model, not a curated record. The transcript is spliced from 3 exons. Lineage: Eukaryota; Metazoa; Arthropoda; Malacostraca; Decapoda; Palaemonidae.
AGAAAGCUGAAAUAUGGCAGGAACUGGACUCGUUAGUGACUGUGGCGUGGCUGUCACCGCCACAGACCAACAUGCUAUUGAUUAUCAUAAUAGCUGUGGUACUGCUAUUGUUCUUAAUGAUGAUUGCUGUCUACAUAUAUAAAAACCCAGACAAACUAGUUCACAUCAGAUCCCGAGUAAUGGCAGCACCUGAUACACUUACAAGAACCUCAAUGUCAGCCUCAACACCAGCUGUCAGAAGUAGAAGUCCUCUUAUAUUGUCCCUUCAUCUUUUAGUAUGUCGUCACUUGCGAAUAUCAAAGAUGGG